RNAcentral lists this small RNA (467 nucleotides) under Pan troglodytes (chimpanzee). Its description in RNAcentral is "retained intron". The record is from RNAcentral. Lineage: Eukaryota; Metazoa; Chordata; Mammalia; Primates; Hominidae.
GUCGCUGCCUUAAAGAGUGAGUUUCAGAAGACACUUAAUGACAAGACAGAAAACCAGAAGUCACUGGAGGAGAAUCUGGCGACAGCCAAGCACGAUCUACUCAGGGUUCAGGAGGAGCUGCACAUGGCUGAAAAGGAAUUAGAAAAGAAAUUUCAGCAAACAGCAGCUUAUCGAAACAUGAAAGAGAUUCUUACCAAGAAGAAUGACCAAAUCAAAGAUCUGAGGAAAAGACUGGCACAGUAAGCCACACUGAUCCCGCCUUUGGAUUUCUCUCUCUGGAUUGAUGUUUGUUCUCUGUUAAAUCUAAGCUUGUUCCAGAGAGGUCAAGCCGGUGGUAGUUGCUGGAUCAUUUAGUCCAGAAGCCUUCAUUUGAGGAAAGUGGAGGAGCUCUGGCCUGACCUUAUCUAUAAUGCCCACCAGGGCUUCUUUUUAGGUUCAUCUAGGCCUUUAGACUCACACAGGCCUAC